AGGGUAUGGCUGUUCGCCAUUUAAAGUGGUACGCGAGCUGGGUUUAGAACGUCGUGAGACAGUUCGGUCCCUAUCUACCGUGGGCGUUCGAGAUUUGAGAGGAGCUACUCCUAGUACGAGAGGACCGGAGUGGACGUACCUCUGGUGUUCCGGUUGUCACGCCAGUGGCAUUUGCCGGGUAGCUAUGUACGGACAGGAUAACCGCUGAAAGCAUCUAAGCGGGAAGCCUCCCUCAAGAUGAGAUCUCGCACUCGUGCUUGCACGAGUCUAAAGGUUCGUUGGAGACUACAACGUUGAUAGGCAAGGUGUGGAAGCGCAGUAAUGUGUGGAGCUAACUUGUACUAAUUAACCGUGAGACUUUCCAUACAACCUUAAAUGGUUUCA
RNAcentral lists this ribosomal RNA (384 nucleotides) under Gammaproteobacteria bacterium RIFCSPLOWO2_02_FULL_42_14. RNAcentral describes it as "bacterial LSU rRNA". It matches the Rfam family "Bacterial large subunit ribosomal RNA", at positions 2568 to 2925 of the family's 2925-position model. Lineage: Bacteria; Pseudomonadati; Pseudomonadota; Gammaproteobacteria. The record is from RNAcentral.